GAACCCCAUACACUUUAAAAGAGAAUUCAAUAUAAUUAUUGAGCUUACUAGUAUUUUGUUGUCAAAAUGAAAAAUAUUCUUGAUAUAAACUAAAUAUUUUAAUUUUUAGCUUUUUUUUGUACAAAAUUGUAUUGUUUUACACCUCUAAUUAAAUAAGCAUGAAUAGGAACGAUAGGAUGGAAGUUUCCGUUCAGCAGAUGGCUAAAUGUCUCUGGAUACUAAAUAAGCCGCACACGGCGACACAACUAUUGAGAGCUUGUAGAGUUAAUUUGAAGGGCACAGCUCGCCAACAAUAUACAUUAAUAAAGACAGUUAAAGAUUAUUUGGAAAUUGGCGUACAAAACGGAUCUAUAAUAAGGAGCAAGUAUCACAGUUAUGCUGCAUCGCCAAGUUUCAGUUAUUAUGAAACAAUGCCAAAUCCUCCUAGAUUUUAAUAAGGACUAAAUUGACGUUGCCCCAUAUUUUAUAAUUUCUCCACAAUUGGUUUCGCGAUUCAUUUUAUUUAGGCCGUCUGUCUAAGUACAAUCAAAUAACAUACUAGCUGUGAAAUAAUUAAUAACUAAUUUAAAUAAAAAUGUUUUGAGGAAUAAAACCAAAUAAAUUUAGACCAAGAGAAUCUGCUUCAAUGAUGCAAGUAUUUACACCAAAGUCACAUCACGCGAACAGCUGAUUAAAGUUAAACAAGUAAGCAAACUCUGGCUGAUUAAAGUAAAAUAUUAAGGGCAAUAGAAGAAAAUGCGCAAUUUAAAAAAUUUUACGGUACUUAUUUCAUUUUAUAAGUAUAAUUUAAUUUUAUAAUCAAUUUAUUUGUUUAUUAUUAAACUCAACUUAUUUCCGUUUUACAUCAUAAUAAGUAACUCGCUAUGAAACGAUCACAUUUCUAUACAAAGUCAAUAAAUUGAUCGUCUCAGUGAUUUUCAUUCAUUUUCUCGUGCCUCUGUCUAUUUGGUUUUAUUUUUCGACUUUUUAAAUUACAAAGCAAUUUGAAAAUAAAUUUAAAGCGCCAAAAUUGAUCAAUGAUGCAUCUCCAUUAGCGUCUCUUUCUUACACGCAGCCGUUUAUGGAAUAAUGCGUCGGAAGAUUCUUCUUAA
Long non-coding RNA from Drosophila sulfurigaster albostrigata, 1091 nucleotides. RefSeq lists it as uncharacterized. The transcript is spliced from 2 exons. NCBI's taxonomy places the organism in Eukaryota, Metazoa, Arthropoda, Insecta, Diptera, Drosophilidae. The record is from RefSeq and is a predicted model, not a curated record.